Long non-coding RNA from Corythoichthys intestinalis (scribbled pipefish), 877 nucleotides. RefSeq lists it as uncharacterized. The record is from RefSeq and is a predicted model, not a curated record. The transcript is spliced from 5 exons. NCBI's taxonomy places the organism in Eukaryota, Metazoa, Chordata, Actinopteri, Syngnathiformes, Syngnathidae.
GCACACCAGAACCCUACUUGACACAGCUGUACCAACGAUUUUCCACCAUCCUCAACAUGGACCCAGUGCCAGUGGACUAAGUGGUCACAACCCUCUGAAAAGAAAGUCCACAGCCAUUGAAAAGCGGACGAGAAAGGCUGCAGUGCAAUCGAUGAUACAAGAAUACCAGGCUCAUUCGAAGACACAGUGCGUAAGUGUUGAUCCAGACACGGAUAAUCCUGAGUUGGAGGAACUUGCAGCUUGGUCAGCUCCUAAAUCGGUGUCCAGACAACUUCUGGGCCCCUCAGUAAGGUGCGUGGAUUUGAAGUCCUAAAACCCUGGAUUGGCAGCAUCAUUAACCAUUUGUAUUGGUCUGUGGCGUCGACGCGACCUGGGAACCCUGGGCUCGUCCUCGACAAGUGGCAGUCAGUUCUGAGCCAUGUCCAGAAUGAUCACUCGGGCUUCAAAGGCAGUUUCCCCAGGUGCAGCUUUGGUCCUUUGGAAGGUCGGGAACAGAAAAAGCCUUGGCUCACGCCUCACACUAAGUUGACCCAUUAGCUGGAGAAGAUGAUCUGUGGCUCCAAACUGUUGGCCGACGUCCACCGGCUGUCUCCGGUCUACCAGACUUCCCACCUGGAAGCCUUCCACAGUCUGGUGAACCAUUUUACACCCAAAAUGUUCGCCUUUUCUUACGAGGGGAUGCUCAGCAGAUUAUGUUGGCGAGCUGAUGUGGAGAGGUUGGUGCAGGAUGUCGGUGACGUAGAGCCGGAUGAAUGGGAGGCGAAAACGGCUGUACCCGAGGCUGAGAGUUUACCCCUCAGCAGCAGCUGUCAGCGACCUGACAAAGAACAGGCGGUCCAGGACCAUGUCGUACACAAGAAAGCCCGCAAACAGUUUG